RNAcentral lists this ribosomal RNA (1545 nucleotides) under Salmonella enterica subsp. enterica serovar Kentucky. RNAcentral describes it as "bacterial SSU rRNA". It matches the Rfam family "Bacterial small subunit ribosomal RNA". The record is from RNAcentral. Lineage: Bacteria; Pseudomonadati; Pseudomonadota; Gammaproteobacteria; Enterobacterales; Enterobacteriaceae.
AAAUUGAAGAGUUUGAUCAUGGCUCAGAUUGAACGCUGGCGGCAGGCCUAACACAUGCAAGUCGAACGGUAACAGGAAGCAGCUUGCUGCUUUGCUGACGAGUGGCGGACGGGUGAGUAAUGUCUGGGAAACUGCCUGAUGGAGGGGGAUAACUACUGGAAACGGUGGCUAAUACCGCAUAACGUCGCAAGACCAAAGAGGGGGACCUUCGGGCCUCUUGCCAUCAGAUGUGCCCAGAUGGGAUUAGCUUGUUGGUGAGGUAACGGCUCACCAAGGCGACGAUCCCUAGCUGGUCUGAGAGGAUGACCAGCCACACUGGAACUGAGACACGGUCCAGACUCCUACGGGAGGCAGCAGUGGGGAAUAUUGCACAAUGGGCGCAAGCCUGAUGCAGCCAUGCCGCGUGUAUGAAGAAGGCCUUCGGGUUGUAAAGUACUUUCAGCGGGGAGGAAGGUGUUGUGGUUAAUAACCGCAGCAAUUGACGUUACCCGCAGAAGAAGCACCGGCUAACUCCGUGCCAGCAGCCGCGGUAAUACGGAGGGUGCAAGCGUUAAUCGGAAUUACUGGGCGUAAAGCGCACGCAGGCGGUCUGUCAAGUCGGAUGUGAAAUCCCCGGGCUCAACCUGGGAACUGCAUUCGAAACUGGCAGGCUUGAGUCUUGUAGAGGGGGGUAGAAUUCCAGGUGUAGCGGUGAAAUGCGUAGAGAUCUGGAGGAAUACCGGUGGCGAAGGCGGCCCCCUGGACAAAGACUGACGCUCAGGUGCGAAAGCGUGGGGAGCAAACAGGAUUAGAUACCCUGGUAGUCCACGCCGUAAACGAUGUCUACUUGGAGGUUGUGCCCUUGAGGCGUGGCUUCCGGAGCUAACGCGUUAAGUAGACCGCCUGGGGAGUACGGCCGCAAGGUUAAAACUCAAAUGAAUUGACGGGGGCCCGCACAAGCGGUGGAGCAUGUGGUUUAAUUCGAUGCAACGCGAAGAACCUUACCUGGUCUUGACAUCCACAGAACUUUCCAGAGAUGGACUGGUGCCUUCGGGAACUGUGAGACAGGUGCUGCAUGGCUGUCGUCAGCUCGUGUUGUGAAAUGUUGGGUUAAGUCCCGCAACGAGCGCAACCCUUAUCCUUUGUUGCCAGCGGUUAGGCCGGGAACUCAAAGGAGACUGCCAGUGAUAAACUGGAGGAAGGUGGGGAUGACGUCAAGUCAUCAUGGCCCUUACGACCAGGGCUACACACGUGCUACAAUGGCGCAUACAAAGAGAAGCGACCUCGCGAGAGCAAGCGGACCUCAUAAAGUGCGUCGUAGUCCGGAUUGGAGUCUGCAACUCGACUCCAUGAAGUCGGAAUCGCUAGUAAUCGUGGAUCAGAAUGCCACGGUGAAUACGUUCCCGGGCCUUGUACACACCGCCCGUCACACCAUGGGAGUGGGUUGCAAAAGAAGUAGGUAGCUUAACCUUCGGGAGGGCGCUUACCACUUUGUGAUUCAUGACUGGGGUGAAGUCGUAACAAGGUAACCGUAGGGGAACCUGCGGUUGGAUCACCUCCUUACCU